Molecule: ribosomal RNA, 123 nt
Filed under: Chinchilla lanigera (long-tailed chinchilla)
Lineage: Eukaryota; Metazoa; Chordata; Mammalia; Rodentia; Chinchillidae
Source: RNAcentral
GUCUACAGCCAUACCACCCUGAAUGCACCCAAUCUUGUCUGAUCUCAGAAGCUAAGCAGAGUCAGGCCUGCUGAGUACUUGGAUGAGGGGAAUCUACACAAGAGAAGUCCAUCUACAUGGACU